This 105-nucleotide small nuclear RNA is filed under the name Pongo abelii (Sumatran orangutan). The record is from RNAcentral. Lineage: Eukaryota; Metazoa; Chordata; Mammalia; Primates; Hominidae.
GCUCACUUUGGAAGCAAAUACUAAAAUUGGAAUAAUACAGAGAAUAUUAUCAUGGCCCCUUGCACAAGGAUGACACACAAAUUUGUGAAGUGCUCUAUAUUUUUU